CGGAGACAACAAAGGCUCCAAACCUCUUUCAACAUCACCAUAUAUUACUACAGGAGGCAACUAUGCAUUAAAACAAUAUUUUUGUAUUUUUUCAAUUUUUCUCAAAAUUUAUGUGUUAUAACCUCUACAAAAAUAUUGAAUUUAUGUAAAUGCUUUAUAUACAAAACCCUAUAAUCUUUAGUGUUGUUUUAAAAUUUCUAACCACAUUCUACAUUUGUAUUAAUGUAUGUUAAACUCUCUUUCAUGAUGCACGAGCAUCGUUCAGUUUUUCUAUAAAUUAAUUUAGUAAAAUUUCAUAUACUCACUAAAUUGGUGAACUAACCGUUAUAAAAUCGCUAUUCUCUUGAGAAAUGAAGACAACAAAGUUUCCAAACCUCUUUGACCAUCACCUUAUAUUACUACAGGAGGCAACUAUGCAUCAAAACAAUAUUGUUAUAUUUUUUUCAAAAUCUAUUUGUUAACUGAGUUUUACGUUAAACGC
Molecule: long non-coding RNA, 481 nt
Filed under: Brassica napus (rape)
Lineage: Eukaryota; Viridiplantae; Streptophyta; Magnoliopsida; Brassicales; Brassicaceae
Description: long non-coding RNA (BNAP_LNC025999)
Source: RNAcentral